RNAcentral lists this long non-coding RNA (440 nucleotides) under Homo sapiens (human). RNAcentral describes it as "HSALNT0311299". Lineage: Eukaryota; Metazoa; Chordata; Mammalia; Primates; Hominidae. The record is from RNAcentral.
AAUCAAUUUCUUCCAGCUUUCUAAUAUCUCUCCCAUUAAGCCUUCUGAGGAGAGGAACUACACCUGUUUUAUCUUGGUAACUAGCACUUUGCACCAUGCCUGACACAGAGGAGGUGUUUUAAAACUGUCUUUCAAUGGAUUACCACAGAAAAAAGUUGCUCACCUCUAGAAGAUGCUAGAGCAGGUACAGUGGAAAGAGCAUGGACUUGGAGGGCAGACAAAGGCAUGGACUUCGUGUUGAACUGCAGGUUUGAGCCAAGGAAUGGUGAGGAAUAGAUUUCUCAACAAAGCAAGUGCUCACAUAAGCUGCUGAAGUCUUAAAUGGAGAGCAGAGAUAGCUGGAGUCCUGUGGGUACUUUAAGGGAGUUUCAGAUGUUAAGAGAUUCAGAGACACAGGUGCUGAGACUCCCAAAGGCAGUGUCCCAGAGAUGUGUUGCUGC